GUAGGGAAUAUUGCGCAAUGGACGAAAGUCUGACGCAGCGACGCCGCGUGAGUGAUGAAGGCCUUAGGGUCGUAAAGCUCUGUUGAAUGGGAAGAAAAAAAUGACGGUACCAUUCGAGGAAGGACCGGCUAACUUCGUGCCAGCAGCCGCGGUAAUACGAGGGGUCCUAGCGUUGUUCGGAAUCAUUGGGCGUAAAGGGUGUGUAGGUGGCCAUGUAAGUCAGGUGUGAAAGCCCCGGGCUCAACCCGGGAAGUGCACUUGAUACUGCGUGGCUUGAGUACCGAAGAGGGUAGUGGAAUUCCAGGUGUAGUGGUGAAAUACGUAGAUAUCUGGAGGAACACCGGUGGCGAAGGCGGCUACCUGGUCGAGUACUGACACUGAGACACGAAAGCAUGGGGAUCAAACAGGAUUAGAAACCCUGGUAGUCC
Molecule: ribosomal RNA, 428 nt
Filed under: uncultured bacterium
Lineage: Bacteria
Description: bacterial SSU rRNA
Rfam family: Bacterial small subunit ribosomal RNA
Source: RNAcentral